RNAcentral lists this unclassified non-coding RNA (316 nucleotides) under Hevea brasiliensis (rubber tree). The record is from RNAcentral. Lineage: Eukaryota; Viridiplantae; Streptophyta; Magnoliopsida; Malpighiales; Euphorbiaceae.
UUCCCUUCAACUACUGAAUUUUUUCCAUGAGACAUGAUUCAGAGAACUGGUUAAAAGAAAUAGUAGGCAAAACAAAUACCCAAAAAAAUAAAAUUGCAAACCAAGAAAUAGGAAUGGGUUGGGUAGAGGCGCGGUACACUAGGGAUGUAGUCGGAAAAAUGUGCGGCUGGAAAAACUGACCAAGAACAGGUGACGAGGUGCUCUUCCUUCCAAGAGGGGCGGUGACAACUACCUCUCUCGACAGACCCGCUUUCAAGGCUUACCUACUCAAACCCUAACUAUUUCUCACUGUAAAAAAAAAAAUUGCCAGAUAAAA